Molecule: ribosomal RNA, 437 nt
Filed under: uncultured Oscillospiraceae bacterium
Lineage: Bacteria; Bacillati; Bacillota; Clostridia; Eubacteriales; Oscillospiraceae
Description: partial 16S ribosomal RNA
Rfam family: Bacterial small subunit ribosomal RNA
Source: RNAcentral
ACGGGAGGCAGCAGUGGGGAAUAUUGGGCGAUGGGCGAAAGCCUGACCCAGAGACGCCGCGUGAGGGAAGAAGGUCUUCGGAUUGUAAACCUCUUUCAGCAGGGAAAAAGCAAGUGACGGUACCUGCAGAAGAAGUCACGGCUAACUACGUGCCAGAAGCCGCGGUAAUACGUAGGUGGCGAGCGGUAUCCGGAAUUACUGGGUGUAAAGGGUGGGUAGGCGGAGAAGCAAGACAGGCGUGAAAUUUCCGGGCUCAACCCGGAAACUGCGCUUGAAACUGUAUCCCUUGAGAGUGGGAGAGGUAAACGGAAUUCCUGGUGUAGUAGUGAAAUGCGUAGAUAUCAGGAGGAACACCGGCGGCGAAGGCGGUUUACUGGACCACAACUGACGCUGAGACACGAAAGCGUGGGGAGCAAACAGGAUUAGAUACCCUGGUA